Pipistrellus kuhlii (Kuhl's pipistrelle) is the source of this 550-nucleotide long non-coding RNA. RefSeq lists it as uncharacterized. NCBI's taxonomy places the organism in Eukaryota, Metazoa, Chordata, Mammalia, Chiroptera, Vespertilionidae. The record is from RefSeq and is a predicted model, not a curated record. The transcript has 4 exons.
GUCAACACAAACAAGACAAACUUAGAAAAAAAAAGAGCUUCAUAUAAAAGUACAAAUGAUUGCCUCCACUCGGAAAAAAACAUCUUAAGUCAAUUAUUCGUGUAGUUAAUGUUUCAUCAAAUGAAUUUCCUUUUUUCCUUAAAACUAUUACAUCCAUUCCUUUUACAAGCAAAUGCCGUUAAUAUUAAGCUUAUUUUUGCCUUACAUUUUUCUAGUCGUGGGGAAGGUGAACCACAUAGUGAUGUGAUCAUCAUCAGGGUUUUUAUUAUUAUUAUUUUUUUUCUUGGACGAGAGCAUAUCCAAAGUGUUAAGAAUUUAAAUUCUAUCCUUCAGACAUACUUCAGGAAUCCAUUUUAUAGAUGGCAGCUUCUUCUGCAGAAAGGGAAUUUUUUUUUUUCCAGCGUCAAUUCUCCAGAUUCAUGUCACAUCUUAAACUUCAAAGAAAUUUCAAAAACGUUAGCAUCACACUCCAGGUCUUUAGCCUCGGCACCUGUGCUGGAAGGGAAAACACACCCCUGUACACGCAGGUGGGUGUACACACACACACACA